Long non-coding RNA from Meriones unguiculatus (Mongolian gerbil), 5729 nucleotides. RefSeq lists it as uncharacterized. The transcript is spliced from 5 exons. The record is from RefSeq and is a predicted model, not a curated record. NCBI's taxonomy places the organism in Eukaryota, Metazoa, Chordata, Mammalia, Rodentia, Muridae.
AUGACUCACUUCCGGCCUGGUUUGUUUUCUUUUUUCUGGCGCGCCGGGGCGGGGUCGUGUGCUACCGCGGUAGCGUUUUCUAGGAGAAUGUGGCUGCGCACCCCGCUUUCCGGGAAUCUCAUCGGGGUCUCGGGGGUCCCGGAGGCUGCGAUGUCGGCGCCCGGCGCGGUGGGUCUGGCGUUGAAAGCAGAAGCGGAGGAGGAAGUGAAGGACCCCGGGCACUGGCGAGACCCACAUACCUCCCGGAGGAGCUUCUGGCGGCUGCGCUACGGGUCGUGUCCGGCCCGGGGGAGGCAGUGAGCCGCCGGCGGGAGCUGUACCGCCGUUGGCUGCGGCCCGAGCGGCGCUCCAGGGAGCGCCGGCUGCGGGACCACGUGCGCCACCGGCGGCCUCAGCGCGGGGAGGAGGCGGCGGCUUGGACAGGACGAGCCUUGCACCCGGCCUCUCCGCAGGCCUGGAGACCCAAGCUGCCUGGAACCCCGACCUGAUCUCAAAACAGGAGGAGGACUGCAAGGAGGAAGCCAAGCCUGCGCAGGCCUCGGUACAGGGCGCGCCCCUGGGGACGGACCACAACAGGGAAGAGACACCACCUAAAGAUGCUGUCCUGCCACUGCCACAGCCCCAGGGUUCUCCAGGAGAGCCAGAGGGCAUGUCGACCUCACAUGCCCCUUGGGUGCCCAAGGAGGAAGAGCUUUGGAGAAAUAGAUAGCCAGGGCCCACGGCCACCUCGCAGGUCUCUGUGUGGCCAAGAAGGAAGAGCUUUGGAGAAGUGGAGAGCCGUUGUGCACAACCAUCUUGCAGGUCCCCUGGGGGGGCCAAGGAGGAGGGGCUUCGGAGAAGUGACAACUUAGGGGAGGUUGCCACUGCCCCUGCCCUCGGUUGGGAUCAACCGCACCACUUUUGUGAAGUGGUCCCCGCUGGAGAAUAAGCUUGCUGUGGGGAGUGGAGCUCGGCUCAUCUCCUCUGUCUGCUACUUUGAGUCUGAAAACGACUGGUGGGUGAGCAAGCACAUUAAAAAGCUGAUUCACUCCUGAGGAGCUUAGGCUGGCACCCCAACAUUUUGCUUGCUGCAGGGUCAUGUGACUUCAAAUGGCAGUUCUCUGGGUUUUGAUGUGACAAGGAGUUGGAAGCAUGAAGUCCAGGUUGGUCUGGAGCCCACCGUCCUCCAUCAGCUUCUUGUCCUGGAAUUACAAGUCUGCACCUUCAUGUCCACCAGCCUCUUUCUUGCACCGUUUCAGGUCCUCAUUUUGUGUCCCAGGCCACAGGCUGCAGAGAACACUGAACCUGACUUUAUCCACGUGUCCCUGAGGGUGUACAGACAGAACAUUCCCUCUGUCUUUAGCCCGAGGCUAGAGGAGACUCGCCACCCUGCUAGAGCUUUAAGAAUCAUGCCACGGGUUGCUUUUUAAAACCUGUCCUUCAACAGGGCCCUUUCCCCUUUAGCAAAAGGAAAAGCAAAGAAUUCAUCACUGUUUUGUGUUGACUGUUUGGGGCAGACUCAACCCACCUUCAGUACCUUUGUCAGGGUUUCCCAGCCUAAGGAGUAUGACCCUUUCGUGGGUAAAACAACCCUUUCAUAAGGGCCACCCAAGACCACCAGAACACACUUUAAUCAGCAGCAAACUUGCGGUUACAAAGCAACAAUGGGAAUAAUUUUCUGAGGCAGGGCACCACAGCUCGAGGAAGGUUGGGACCUACCGGCCCUUGUGAAAAUUUUCCAGAAAACCAGCCCUGUCAUUUAUAUUCAGGCCUAAUUAAAAAAAAAAAAAAAGGCAGGCAAUGUUGCUCAGUGGUGGACCAUCUGCCGAGUCUGUAGCAAAGCGCCAGCACCAUGAACAAAAAACUAAAAAGAAAAAUCUGGGUGGUGAAGGUGGAGCUAGGGUAGUCUUGGGGUUCUGUGCUCAGGAGUUUGUGGUCUGUUAGUUUUCCAGGGUCCCCUGGCUGUCCCAGCAAAUAAGACAGGACAGGACUGUCUGGACACGUCCACAGUUGCCCAUGACCCCCAGGCAGGAGAAGCUGAUGCCCCUAACCCUGCUGACUUUCAGCUGCCGCUAUCAUUUGGAAGUUGGGCGUAGGGAGCUAGAGGUUUGCUUUGGUUUGGUUUGAAAACAGGGAUUAUCUGAGUCACUCUGUAGCGCAGGCUGGCCUCGAACCCACAGAGAUCCCCCUGCCUCUGCCUCCCCAAGCGCUGGGAUUAAAGGUGUGCAGCCCAGAGUUGUUUUACAGAGUCUUGAGGUUCAGGCUCCCCUUCCUCUUCCUUUCUCCUCCUCCUCUACUCCUCCUUGACUCUUCCUCCUCUAACACCUACUGCUUAUCCUCCCCUUUUUCCUCCACUUUCUUCUCCUUCUUGAAUCUUCCUCCUUGCCUCCUCCUCAACUCCUCCUCUUCACCAUCUCCUCAACUCUUCCUCCUCCUCGACACUUCCUACUUCUCUUCUUCCUCCUCCUCUUCCUGGACUCCUCGACUCCUGGUCUUCCUGCCUUGGCCUCCAGGGGCCGCACCCAUGUUCAGAUGCUUCCCGGAGAAUCAGAAGAGGCCAGACGAGUCAGAUUCUGGCCCCCAGUCCCUCAACAUCCUAAGGCCUCAAAGGUGACAGUGGAGCUGAGGUGGGGGCCAGCCCUUUGUUGGCAGGGCAGGCCUGCCUCUCUCAGCCCUUUGUUGGGUAGCUUUACCUCUAGGUUUGUCUGUGUGUGUGUGUGUGUGUGUGUGUGUGUGUGUGUGUGUGUGUGUAUGUAUAUGUAUAUGUGUAUGUGCGCCCAGGACCUGUGUCUACCCGGCUCUAUGCCGCAGGCUGCCAUCUCUGGUUCCCUGUGGGUGAUGCGGAUCCAAACUGGGGUCCCUGUGCUGGUCCAGCAAGCACAUCCCUGGCUGGCCUUUCCUGCAUCCGCCCAUCUUAACCCGCCUCCCUCCUCCUCCGCCACCCUUGCCACAACAGAGUGUUCUCGGCCUACAUCAAGGAGGUGGAUGAGAGCUGGCCAGCACCCUGUAGGGCAGCAAGAUGGCAGCUGAUGGCAGAGUUUGGCGGUGGCAGUGGCUGGGUAUACAGCGGCAGCUUCUCAGCCAGCAGGAGUCCCCUGGCCUGGGUCAGCGAUGACAGCACAGUGUCGGUGGCUGACGCCUCCAAGAGCAUGCAGUGAGUCCUCACCUGGCUGGUGGGGGGCAGAGGGGAAUACAGUUAGCGAUCUGUACAUGCUGGCUCUCCACGGCAGCUAGGGGAAGAAGUGUAGACAGCUGGCCAGCUGAACACGCUGGCUCUCCUAGACCACGGCAGCUGAGGAUGGGGGUGUAUACAACUAGGGAUCUGUACAUUCUGGCUCUCCAUGGCAGAUAGAGGGAGUGUAUACAGCUAGGGGGAGUAUAUACAGCUGGUCAUCUGGACAUGCUGGCUCUCCUUGGCAGCUAGGGGAAGUGUAUACAGCUGGCCACACACACUAUGGACAUAGUAGCCUAGAGUACCUGCAGCUAGGAGGAGUGUAUACAGCUAGCUUUUCCUUGUUUCAAGGCCAAACUGGUCUCCAGAGCGAGUGGCAGGACAGCCACUACAUGCAAACUAAAACCAAAGCAGAAAAAAAAGAAAAAGAAAAAUAGAAAUAAAUGAAAUGUGGACUCACAGAUUGUGCAGGAACAACGCCUAUGACGGAAAGACUGUAUUUAGUUAGUUUUAUUUAUUCUAUAUUUAUUCUUUAUCGUAUAUCCUAAACCCAGCACAACCAUAACCCUAACCCUUCCCCUAGCACAACCCUAACCCUAAACCUAAUCCUUUACCUUAUACCUAAAUCUAACCCUAAAGGUAACACUAACCCUACCACAACACUAACCCAACCAUAACCUUAAACCUAGAACAAGAGGUAGACGGUCAGCUAAUGCGAAUGUAAAUAUCUAUGCCAUUUCUAACCAGCAGUGGAUGUACUCAUUAGAACUGCAAUCCAAGUAUCAGCAAUCCAGCAGCUAGCCUGUAUAGGCUUAGCAGGCCCGGCUCCAGAGGAGCCCAAGUCCUAGGUAGCAGUUCAAACUGCCCUGAGCAGGGAACCGCGAGCCUGGCUAGGGGUCCACGACCCAGCAGCGGCCACGAUGGCGGUGGGGGGGGGUGUCGGGGGAGCAGGUGCUUCUUGCCUGCCUGCCUGCCUGCCUGCCUGCCUGCCUGCCUGUCAGGGGCAGGGUGGCUAGCGCCUCAGGAUGGCCAGGGGACAGAGGCCAGGCAGGGUGAGUGAGCUUUGAGCGAGUGGCCAGCGCGGGCAGCUCAACUCGUUUGAGGUCACCUGACUCACACAGCAGCAGCCAGCUUCGGGCCACAGCAGAGGGCACAGCCCGCGGCAGCAAGUGCUGGCGGGAAGGAGACGGGAGCAAAAGUAAACUUUUCCGAACUCCAAAUCGUUUCCUAAGAUUUUCUACGUCGGAGCCACUGACAAAAAGCACAGUUACCCAGCCUCUAUUGCCAGAGACCAACCAUUUCCAGCACAGCACCUAGGGAAAGACCAAAACCCGAACCAAGCAAACACAAAAUUCCAGCACUUGAGAGGCAGAGGCAGGCAAAUCUCUUAGUGUGUGUCCAGCCCAUAGUCUCAUACAUAUGCUCAUGAUGAGUUCAAAGCAUAAGUUUAUAAUCUUUUUAUUUCAAUUGUUUUUGUUUGUUUGUUUCUUUGUUUUUAGUUUCGGCUCAUUUGAGAUGGGGUUUCUCUGUGUAAGUUUGGUAGACACAUACGCAGAGAGGGAGAGAAGAAAGAAAGAAAGAAAGAAAGACAGAAAGAAAGAAAGAAAGAAAGAAAGAAAGAAAGAAAGAGCUCUUCCCUCAACUAGUAAGAGUGAACUUCAAAUUGUUCCCUAAGAUUUUCCCUAACCUUGCUAAACAAUCUAUUGCCAGAGACCGACCAUCUUCCAGCAGACAAGGCAGGUCUGAGUCAGGGAUGACCUGAUGAUGGCUGCUGCUAUUUGGGGCUGCUGGUUGUGGCAAAAAAAAAAGAACUCUUCAUAUAAUUUAACUCUUAAACUUCCAUGGGCCUCUGGUUGUGGAGAGAGCCUCUAAAGCUCUAAAGGAAAAGAGUUAGAGGGAACUGAACCCUGGAUUCUCAGAUUCAGGGUCAAGAAACAGUGGUGGCAGCCAGGGGACAUGGGAGAGAGGGGUGUUCUAUGUCUCUAUCCCUACUGUAUUUACAGGGAGCCCUCUGAUUGUCAUGGUAUCUCUCUCUUUUAAAAAUCAGAGUAAAGAGCGAGCGACACUAAACCUCUGUGAUGGUUUGUUUCUACAGAGUAAGAGGGGUUUCUGUGUUUGUUUGUUUUGUUUUGUUUUAAUGUCAAAGUUUUUCUAAAAUACAGGUGUCUGUCUUGUAUGGGUAGCCAUAUAUUCUUUGUUUCAAUAUUCAUAUGAUCUCUCUCAUCGUAUCCUCAUCCUUGGACUAAACCUAGAAGGAAUGCAUGUCCUUCGUCAUUAAUUUGCUUCAUCUCCCUUUGGCACUCAGCAUUUGGAGGUUCAAAGAGCUCCCAGCAGUCCAUCUUCCCUUGCAAAUUGCUGGAAUGAAGUCAGAAACUCUUUGAAAAAUCAUGAUCAGUCAGGGAUUACAGAACCAUCAGAAUGUGAAAAACAACAGCACACUCUGUUAUAGAGUGUUCUCUGCAGCCUGUGGCCUGGGACACAAAAUGAGGACCUGAAACGGUGCAAGAAAGAGGCUGGUGGGCAUGAAGGUGCAGACUUGUAAUUCCAGGACAAGAAGCUGAUGGAGGACGGUGGGCUC